GCCCGCAUGGCUUAGUGGUACAGCGUCUCACUCGUACACCUCCCUCCCUCCCUCAACGGGCCGCGAAGGACAAGACACGGCAAUGAGAAGAUCCUCGGUUCGAUUCCGAGUGUGGGCA
Molecule: non-coding RNA, 118 nt
Organism: Saccharata proteae CBS 121410
Lineage: Eukaryota; Fungi; Ascomycota; Dothideomycetes; Botryosphaeriales; Saccharataceae
Source: the annotation of a GenBank genome assembly